CACGAACCGUACGAACGUUAUUCGGAAUUACUGGGCUUAAAGGGUUUGUAGGCGGCCAUGUAAGUGGGGUGUGAAAGCCCUCGGCUCAACCGAGGAACAGCGCUCCAAACUGUAUGGCUUGAGGGAGACAGGGGUAAGCGGAACUGAUGGUGGAGCGGUGAAAUGCGUUGAUAUCAUCAGGAACACCGGUGGCGAAAGCGGCUUACUGGGUCUCUUCUGACGCUGAGAAACGAAAGCUAGGGUAGCGAACGGG
Molecule: ribosomal RNA, 253 nt
Filed under: uncultured bacterium
Lineage: Bacteria
Description: partial 16S ribosomal RNA
Rfam family: Bacterial small subunit ribosomal RNA
Source: RNAcentral